AUCCAAAAAGAAACAUCUAGCUGCAAGACCCACUCACAAAAAAGAUAAGAUACUGCAUUUUGAUUAUUAUUUUAAUAUAAUUUCUUUUAUGAUCAGUUGUUUUUACAUCAUUUUGAUGAGGUUAUUAGAGAGUUAUUUCUGCUUAAAUAGUUGUUUAACUUUGAUCGUUUUUUAUCUGCUAUUAGCCUUUUAUAGAGCAGAGAGAAAACAAGAAGACCAGAAGAGAUGUAAACACUCAUUUUGAAAGAUAUGUAUACACACAUUUAAUCAAGGACUCAAUCAGGACUCGGAUCAGCAAUUCUUUUUACUUUGUUUUGAUCAAGUCCUCAAUUGUUAUCAUCUGUUUAACUUUCAGAGAGAAGGGAGGAUGCAGCAUGCACUGCAAACUCUCAUUAAAAAAAAGAUAAGUAUUUUAUUUUAUAUUAUUAUAAAUCCUCCUCAGAUGAGCAGUUCUCCCAGUUGCUGAAAUUUUAGUAACAGUCCCACCCCCCACCCCACCCCCGUGUUUGUCAUUUGUAUUUCAGAUAAAACAAAGAGGAGACAAGAUGACAUGAAGACCAAAGAUAGCAUGGACUGUGAACCCUGCCAUCUAAAAAAAGCGAAGAUGAGAUAAACUGAGGGUAGAAGGAAGGAGAUGUCAUGCAGAGUGAAAGAUACGUUUCUUUCAUUUGAAACUCUUAUAAGAAAUUAAACAUAAACUGAUCAAUGAUUCAUAUGUUGUGUUGCUGGGGAUUUUACUCUUACUCCACUGUCUCUGUCAUUUUUGUCCAUUUCAGCAUGUCCUCCUGAUCUCCUGCUGUCAUGGUCUGCUGUCACCCUGGGCCAGGAGCUUUGAGUGGAUCUCCACCCUUCUGGGCAGAGCCUGGAUUCUUCCACUGCUCAGCCGAGCAUAUGUACCCUAUCAAGCCUCAUCGUCUGUGGUAUUUCAGGAUUGCAUUCUGCAGCUUGCCUCACAAAGUGGACUGCCUGCUCACCCUCCCUCAGCACCUCUUUUCAGCUCAAGGAUCGACUAGCUAAUCAGGACCUUAGACUUCUCAUCUAAGAACCCAAAGCAUCCCGCCUGGACCUGCAAAGCUUGCUUAACCCUGUACCCCAGGCUAAACUCCUGAGCUCUGCAUGAACAAAAUAAAGAUUCAGUGAUUACUGUAAA
Long non-coding RNA from Archocentrus centrarchus (flier cichlid), 1150 nucleotides. RefSeq lists it as uncharacterized. Lineage: Eukaryota; Metazoa; Chordata; Actinopteri; Cichliformes; Cichlidae. The transcript is spliced from 4 exons. The record is from RefSeq and is a predicted model, not a curated record.